RNAcentral lists this non-coding RNA (146 nucleotides) under Candidatus Scalindua. RNAcentral's name for it is "c-di-GMP sequence". It matches the Rfam family "c-di-GMP-I riboswitch aptamer". Rfam says of the family: GEMM was predicted in a large-scale screen for bacterial structured RNA regulatory elements. Genes associated with GEMM are involved in a diverse array of functions, including chemotaxis regulation, signal transduction, secretion and chitin. The record is from RNAcentral. RNAcentral also lists the same sequence under 1 other name. Lineage: Bacteria; Pseudomonadati; Planctomycetota; Candidatus Brocadiia; Candidatus Brocadiales; Candidatus Scalinduaceae.
AAACGACAAAGGCUAACUCCGGGUGAUCGGGGGGCGCAAAGUAGAGGAUCUUUAUCGCUUACGACUGCUAUAGAACUGUGUGGAAAGGGAAAAUUCCUGAACCGUUCAAUUGUAUAGCUUCGGAAAAAGACAGCCCUACUGCCAAA